RNAcentral lists this ribosomal RNA (1607 nucleotides) under Salmonella enterica. Its description in RNAcentral is "bacterial LSU rRNA". It matches the Rfam family "Bacterial large subunit ribosomal RNA", at positions 1223 to 2812 of the family's 2925-position model. The record is from RNAcentral. Lineage: Bacteria; Pseudomonadati; Pseudomonadota; Gammaproteobacteria; Enterobacterales; Enterobacteriaceae.
GUUGGGUAGGGGAGCGUUCUGUAAGCCUGCGAAGGUGGCCUGUGAGGGUUGCUGGAGGUAUCAGAAGUGCGAAUGCUGACAUAAGUAACGAUAAAGCGGGUGAAAAGCCCGCUCGCCGGAAGACCAAGGGUUCCUGUCCAACGUUAAUCGGGGCAGGGUGAGUCGACCCCUAAGGCGAGGCCGAAAGGCGUAGUCGAUGGGAAACGGGUUAAUAUUCCCGUACUUGGUGUUACUGCGAAGGGGGGACGGAGAAGGCUAUGUUGGCCGGGCGACGGUUGUCCCGGUUUAAGCGUGUAGGUGUGUGUUCCAGGUAAAUCCGGUUCACUUUAACACUGAGGCGUGACGACGAGGCACUACGGUGCUGAAGCAACAAAUGCCCUGCUUCCAGGAAAAGCCUCUAAGCAUCAGGUAACAUCAAAUCGUACCCCAAACCGACACAGGUGGUCAGGUAGAGAAUACCAAGGCGCUUGAGAGAACUCGGGUGAAGGAACUAGGCAAAAUGGUGCCGUAACUUCGGGAGAAGGCACGCUGACACGUAGGUGAAGUGAUUUACUCAUGGAGCUGAAGUCAGUCGAAGAUACCAGCUGGCUGCAACUGUUUAUUAAAAACACAGCACUGUGCAAACACGAAAGUGGACGUAUACGGUGUGACGCCUGCCCGGUGCCGGAAGGUUAAUUGAUGGGGUCAGCGCAAGCGAAGCUCCUGAUCGAAGCCCCGGUAAACGGCGGCCGUAACUAUAACGGUCCUAAGGUAGCGAAAUUCCUUGUCGGGUAAGUUCCGACCUGCACGAAUGGCGUAAUGAUGGCCAGGCUGUCUCCACCCGAGACUCAGUGAAAUUGAACUCGCUGUGAAGAUGCAGUGUACCCGCGGCAAGACGGAAAGACCCCGUGAACCUUUACUAUAGCUUGACACUGAACAUUGAGCCUUGAUGUGUAGGAUAGGUGGGAGGCUUUGAAGCGUGGACGCCAGUCUGCGUGGAGCCGACCUUGAAAUACCACCCUUUAAUGUUUGAUGUUCUAACGUGGACCCGUUAUCCGGGUUGCGGACAGUGUCUGGUGGGUAGUUUGACUGGGGCGGUCUCCUCCUAAAGAGUAACGGAGGAGCACGAAGGUUGGCUAAUCCUGGUCGGACAUCAGGAGGUUAGUGCAAUGGCAUAAGCCAGCUUGACUGCGAGCGUGACGGCGCGAGCAGGUGCGAAAGCAGGUCAUAGUGAUCCGGUGGUUCUGAAUGGAAGGGCCAUCGCUCAACGGAUAAAAGGUACUCCGGGGAUAACAGGCUGAUACCGCCCAAGAGUUCAUAUCGACGGCGGUGUUUGGCACCUCGAUGUCGGCUCAUCACAUCCUGGGGCUGAAGUAGGUCCCAAGGGUAUGGCUGUUCGCCAUUUAAAGUGGUACGCGAGCUGGGUUUAGAACGUCGUGAGACAGUUCGGUCCCUAUCUGCCGUGGGCGCUGGAGAACUGAGGGGGGCUGCUCCUAGUACGAGAGGACCGGAGUGGACGCAUCACUGGUGUUCGGGUUGUCAUGCCAAUGGCACUGCCCGGUAGCUAAAUGCGGAAGAGAUAAGUGCUGAAAGCAUCUAAGCACGAAACUUGCCCCGAGAUGAGUUCU